GGGUACCUACGGGGCGCAGCAGUGAGGAAUAUUGGUCAAUGGGCGCGAGCCUGAACCAGCCAAGUCGCGUGAGGGAAGACGGUCCUAUGGAUUGUAAACCUCUUUUGUCGGGGAGCAAAAGACGCCACGCGUGGCGUUCCGAGAGUACCCGAAGAAAAAGCAUCGGCUAACUCCGUGCCAGCAGCCGCGGUAAUACGGAGGAUGCGAGCGUUAUCCGGAUUUAUUGGGUUUAAAGGGUGCGCAGGCGGGAGAUCAAGUCAGCGGUAAAAUGUCGGGGCUCCACCCCGGCCGGCCGUUGAACAUGG
RNAcentral lists this ribosomal RNA (305 nucleotides) under uncultured bacterium. RNAcentral's name for it is "bacterial SSU rRNA". It matches the Rfam family "Bacterial small subunit ribosomal RNA", at positions 333 to 636 of the family's 1533-position model. The record is from RNAcentral.